CCUACGGGGGGCAGCAGUGGGGAAUAUUGGGCAAUGGGCGCAAGCCUGACCCAGCAACGCCGCGUGAAGGAAGAAGGCUUUCGGGUUGUAAACUUCUUUCGACAGGGAAGAGUAGAAGACUGUAUCUGUCGAAUAAGCCACGGCUAUCCACGUGACAGCAGCCGCGGUAAUAUGUAGGUGGCAAGCGUUGUCCGGAUUUACUGGGUGUAAAGGGCGUGUAGCCGGGUUGACAAGUCAGAUGUGAAAUCCUGCGGCUUAACCGCAGAACUGCUUUUGAAACUGUUGAUCUUGAGUACUGGAGAGGCAGGCGGAAUUCCUAGUGUAGCGGUGAAAUGCGUAGAUAUUAGGAGGAACACCAGUGGCGAAGGCAGCAUGCCGGCUUCCGACUGACGCUGAAGCACGAAAGCGUGGGGAUCGAACAGGAUUAGAUACCCUUGUAGUC
RNAcentral lists this ribosomal RNA (442 nucleotides) under uncultured bacterium. RNAcentral describes it as "partial 16S ribosomal RNA". It matches the Rfam family "Bacterial small subunit ribosomal RNA", at positions 338 to 795 of the family's 1533-position model. The record is from RNAcentral.